UUACCGGGUGGUGACGGUGGCGGAACAAUGAGACGUCUCCACCCUGCUGGAGCGGGCCCGCCAGCAGCGAGCCGGUGUCCGCCACCCACUACCACGAUCAGUCGUCUCGCCCCCACUCGGUGUUCACGCUGCGCCGGGAGGGUACUGGCGCAGCGCGCCGACACGGCUCACUGCACCUGGUCGACCUGCGCCGGCUCCGAGCGGCUCAGAGUCCGCAGCGCAGGGCGACCGGCUCACCGAGACAAAGAAUAUCAACUAGUCGCUGGCCAGCCUGGGCAACGUCAUCAUGGCGCGGGGAAAUACGCAGGAUCACGUGCCGCUCCGCGACUCCAAGCUGACGCACCUGCUGCACCACUCACUGGACGGCAACAGCAAGACGCUGAUGCCCGUGAACGCGUCGCCGAGCGAGGACGGCGCCGGCGAGACGCUCAACUCGCUGCGUUUGGCCGUCCAAGUCAACCAUUGUCACAUUGGCACCGCCACGAAACCUACCCGGUGAGGGCGGUCACACCGUGGUGAGGCUGAGCCGUGCAGGGAUGGGCGUAGUUUUCCAGCGACGAACGGAGCGAUAAACUCUCCAGCCUCCUGAUCUGUCGGGCGCACGCUGUAUGUACUUUACCGCCGGGGACGGUACAUCUGACAGUCGGAGCUAUCCGGCCCCGCGCGGAAGUCGCCGGGCAUGGUGGCAGGUGCGUUGCUGUCUAUGGAGGUGUUUAUUGAAUAAACGUAUCUCAUGCUCGGGACACGUGCAUUGGAUAAACUUAUCUCAUCAGUCGGGGGAGGUUUGGUCAAUCGUUGUCAUUUUUAGCACGUGCUAUUUUUGUCACACGUGCCAAAAAUGGCAACGAUUCUGCUAUUUUUGACGACGAUGAAGCCGAUUUCAUUCCUCAGCGAGGAGAUCACGAUUUUGGGAAUACAAGCACUGAUUUUGGAAAAGAAGUGCUGACACCUGGUGCAAGAAGAAUAAACCAGCUUUAAUAUGGGCCGUUGUUUGUAUGGUAGUUUGUUUUGUGGCCUGAAGUUGGAACUUAAAAACUACUGUUACGUGUCAUGUUGUGCCGAACUACGACCGUGUCGUACGCAACUAAAUCAUCGUGUCGGUCGGAACUCUGCUUCAGGGCGAAUCAAGCGGUUUUCUGCGAUGCAUCGUUCGUUUAAAAUAAAAUAGCAUGUCAUU
Long non-coding RNA from Amphibalanus amphitrite, 1177 nucleotides. RefSeq lists it as uncharacterized. The transcript is spliced from 2 exons. Lineage: Eukaryota; Metazoa; Arthropoda; Thecostraca; Balanomorpha; Balanidae. The record is from RefSeq and is a predicted model, not a curated record.